UGGGGAAUAUUGGACAAUGGGCGCAAGCCUGAUCCAGCCAUGCCGCGUGAGUGAUGAAGGCCCUAGGGUUGUAAAGCUCUUUCACCGGUGAAGAAAAUGACAGUACCAUACGAAUAAGGACCGGCUAAUUACGUGCCAGCAGCCGCGGUAAUACGUAAGGUCCGAGCGUUGUCCGGAAUCAUUGGGCGUAAAGGGUACGUAGGCGGAUAAGCAAGUUAGAAGUGAAAUCCUAUAGCUCAACUAUAGUAAGCUUUUAAAACUGCUCAUCUUGAGGUAUGGAAGGGAAAGUGGAAUUCCUAGUGUAGCGGUGAAAUGCGCAGAUAUUAGGAGGAAUACCGGUGGCGAAGGCGACUUUCUGGCCAUAAACUGACGCUGAGGUACGAAAGCGUGGGUAGCAAACAGG
This 403-nucleotide ribosomal RNA is filed under the name Actinomycetes bacterium. Its description in RNAcentral is "Actinobacteria bacterium partial 16S ribosomal RNA". It matches the Rfam family "Bacterial small subunit ribosomal RNA", at positions 355 to 776 of the family's 1533-position model. Lineage: Bacteria; Bacillati; Actinomycetota; Actinomycetes. The record is from RNAcentral.